CUACGGGCGGCACCAGUAAGGAAUAUUGCGCAAUGGAGGCAACUCUGACGCAGCCAUGCCGCGUGCAGGAAGAAGGCCUUAUGGGUCGUAAACUGCUUUUAUUUAGGAAUAAACCCCCGAACGUGUUCGGGGCUGAAGGUACUAAACGAAUAAGCACCGGCUAACUCCGUGCCAGCAGCCGCGGUAAUACGGAGGGUGCAAGCGUUAUCCGGAUUUAUUGGGUUUAAAGGGUGCGCAGGCGGGCUAUUAAGUCAGUGGUGAAAUCCCGGGGCUCAACUCCGGAACUGCCAUUGAUACUGAUAGUCUUGAGUUUGGUUGAAGUGGGCGGAAUGUAGCAUGUAGCGGUGAAAUGCAUAGAUAUGCUACAGAACACCAAUCGCGAAGGCAGCUCACUAAGCCAAAACUGACGCUCAUGCACGAAAGCGUGGGGAUCAAACAGGAUUAGAUACCCGCGUAGUC
RNAcentral lists this ribosomal RNA (459 nucleotides) under uncultured bacterium. Its description in RNAcentral is "partial 16S ribosomal RNA". It matches the Rfam family "Bacterial small subunit ribosomal RNA", at positions 339 to 795 of the family's 1533-position model. The record is from RNAcentral.